AAAGGGUGCGUAGGCGGUCUUUCAAGUCAGGAGUGAAAGGCUACGGCUCAACCGUAGUAAGCUCUUGAAACUGGGAGACUUGAGUGCAGGAGAGGAGAGUGGAAUUCCUAGUGUGGCGGUGAAAUGCGUAGAUAUUAGGAGGAACACCAGUUGCGAAGGCGGCUCUCUGGACUGUAACUGACGCUGAGGCACGAAAGCGUGGGGAGCAAACAGGAUUAGAUACCCUGGUAGUCCACGCUGUA
This 242-nucleotide ribosomal RNA is filed under the name Clostridioides difficile. RNAcentral describes it as "partial 16S ribosomal RNA". It matches the Rfam family "Bacterial small subunit ribosomal RNA", at positions 562 to 804 of the family's 1533-position model. The record is from RNAcentral. Lineage: Bacteria; Bacillati; Bacillota; Clostridia; Peptostreptococcales; Peptostreptococcaceae.